This 253-nucleotide ribosomal RNA is filed under the name uncultured bacterium. Its description in RNAcentral is "partial small subunit ribosomal RNA". It matches the Rfam family "Bacterial small subunit ribosomal RNA", at positions 26 to 285 of the family's 1533-position model. The record is from RNAcentral.
AGGACGAACGCUGGCGGCGUGCUUAACACAUGCAAGUCGAGCGGAAAGGCCCUUCGGGGUACUCGAGCGGCGAACGGGUGAGUAACACGUGAGUAACCUGCCCUAGCUCUGGGAUAGCUCCGGGAAACCGGGAUUAAUACCAGAUACGACCACUUUAGACAUCUGUCGUGGUGGAAAGGAUUCCGGCUAGGGAUGGGCUCGCGGCCUAUCAGCUUGUUGGUGGGGUAACGGCCUACCAAGGCGACGACGGGUA